CGUGCCAGCAGCCGCGGUAAUACGUAGGUGGCAAGCGUUGUCCGGAUUUAUUGGGCGUAAAGCGCGCGCAGGCGGUCUUUUAAGUCUGAUGUGAAAGCCCCCGGCUUAACCGGGGAGGGUCAUUGGACACUGGAAGACUGGAGUGCAGAAGAGGAGAGUGGAAUUCCACGUGUAGCGGUGAAAUGCGUAGAUAUGUGGAGGAACACCAGUGGCGAAGGCGACUCUCUGGUC
RNAcentral lists this ribosomal RNA (231 nucleotides) under Listeria monocytogenes. RNAcentral describes it as "partial 16S ribosomal RNA". It matches the Rfam family "Bacterial small subunit ribosomal RNA", at positions 504 to 734 of the family's 1533-position model. The record is from RNAcentral. Lineage: Bacteria; Bacillati; Bacillota; Bacilli; Caryophanales; Listeriaceae.